Molecule: ribosomal RNA, 722 nt
Filed under: uncultured bacterium
Lineage: Bacteria
Description: bacterial SSU rRNA
Rfam family: Bacterial small subunit ribosomal RNA
Source: RNAcentral
UGNNNUCGANCGAGGAGCAAUUAAGCUUGCUUUUGAGCUCCUAGUGGCGGACGGGUUAGUAACACGUGAGUAACUUGCCUCGGAGUGGGAGAUAGUCCCGGGAAACUGGGUUUAAUACCGCAUAUGCUCUACGGAGUAAAGAGGGCUUCGGCUCUCGCUUUGAGAUAGGCUCGCGUCCUAUCAGCUUGUUGGUGAGGUAACGGCUCACCAAGGCGACGACGGGUAGUUGGUCUGAGAGGACGACCAGCAACACUGGAACUGAGACACGGUCCAGACACCUACGGGUGGCAGCAGUCGAGAAUCAUUCACAAUGGGGGCAACCCUGAUGGUGCAACGCCGCGUGGAGGAUGAAGGCCCUAGGGUCGUAAACUCCUGUCAUAAUAGAGUAAGGCAUGGUCGUUAAAAGCUUCCAUGUUUGAUAGUAUAUUAAGAGGAAGGGACGGCUAACUUCGUGCCAGCAGCCGCGGUAAUACGAAGGUCCCGAGCGUUAUUCGGAAUCACUGGGCGUAAAGGGAGCGUAGGCGGCGAGGUAAGUCAGAUGUGAAAGCCCGGGGCUCAACCCCGGAACUGCAUUCGAUACUGCCCUGCUUGAGUAGUGGAGAGGCAAAUGGAAUUUUGGGUGUAGCAGUGAAAUGCGUGGAUAUCCAAAGGAAGACCAAUGGCGAANGCAAUUUGCUGGACACUUACUGACGCUGANGCUCGNANNNCNNGGAGCGAAAGGG